AUUGUAGAUCUAUUUCAACUUUGAAUGAAAACUGUUAGGUUUAGCAGCAUCACAUGACCAAACUGACAGCCUUUGUUCUUACCUGCAGGAUUUUUCGAGCUAGAUGGAGAAGGCAAAAUGUGUGUUUGAGAAGCUCAAAGGUAUAGUUUUCUAUCUUUGGCUGUGUUGGCAAGGCCGUGCACUACUGUGCCAUAUGUCCUGUUCGUAGGAAGCACCAACUGUAAGUUCUGCAUGGCCAUUGUUUGCGAUAUCACUUGCUUCGAAUGAACGUCUAAUUUGUUUUGGCCAGAACAAAAUCAAUCGAUAAUGAUUGGUUCCUUUUUAUUCUUAUAUUGCUUUUGGUUCAUUCCAAAAUUUUAAUGAAAGCACUAUAUUCCUAGAACAAUAUGCCUAUUAUUUUGCCUGUAUAAAAUUAAAAUAAGGUAAACUGCUCAAUUAGCUUUCGUUAUCAGCUUUUCUUUUCUACUGCCUGAUACAUAUGUUUGAUUCUGUAAUACACACCAUAAAGGUUACCUACAUGUGAGCUGCUACUCUACAAGUAGUAUAACACAUUUGGUUGUCAGUGGUUAGUAUUUGUUCACUUGUGCAAUUAGAAUAUCAGAUCGGCUUUAUGUGAGUGCUGUUCUACAAGUAGUCUAACUUUUUAUUUUAAUUUCAGGAAAAUCCAAGUAACUUGAUUAUGCCGUCUACAUGUGCUGGUUGAAGAGACAGAACAAUCCUGCUAGUGUUUUAUAGGAAUAGUUGUUAAUAAAAUAUCACAAUGUAUUUGGUAUUAUUGAAAUUUUUGUUGUUAUUGAAAUACGAUGGCAUAUGCUAAUUAUGUAUUUGACUAUUCAUCUGGACUUGUGUACUGGUUAUGGUAUUACAAUGCAUAUGUUGCUGGAUAAUAUAUGUUGUAAUAAAUUUAUUAAUAAUUGAAUUUACGUUGUAUGUGCUGUAAUAAUCAG
This 947-nucleotide long non-coding RNA is filed under the name Sorghum bicolor (sorghum). RNAcentral describes it as "long non-coding RNA (SBIC_LNC003177)". Lineage: Eukaryota; Viridiplantae; Streptophyta; Magnoliopsida; Poales; Poaceae. The record is from RNAcentral.